AAAAUUUAAUAUUUUUAGUUGAAUGUCCAAGUGGAACAUUUGAAGAGGAUGGUAGAUGCGAGUACUGUCCAGGAAAUCAUUAUCAAGAUAGAACAGGAAAAACUAAAUGUAAAGCAUGCCCAAGAGGAACAGUUUCUGUUGCUGGUUCUCGGUCCAAAUCUGACUGUAAAGCUCUUGAUCAAGAUCGUCCUCUACGGUCAUCUAGAUCUGCACGAGACCAGUCAUCAACCGAAUUGAAUUAUAACACACCAUGUGAUUCUCAUCCAUGUAAUUAUGGAGGAACAUGUAUUCUUACACAAAAUUCUUAUAUUUGUUUGUGCAAACAAGGCUAUGCAGGUACUAAAUGUGAAACAAUUAUUUGUCCAGAAAAUUACUGCUUAAAUGGUGGUACUUGUACUUCAUUGCAUAAUAAUAAUGUUGGCUGUUUAUGCCCAAAAUUUUAUACUGGAGUACAUUGUGAAAUCAAAACAGGUUUGUGAAACAAAAAAUUAUAAUUAUUUGUGUACGUUUAUUAUUUUUAUAUAAAAACUGAAAUAUAUCUGAAUUGAAUUAACAGUGAAAAUUAUUUUGAAAAAAUUAAUCAAAAUUUUAUAUGUAAGAGAUGAUCAAAAAGUUUUGAUUGACAGCACUGCAUGUGUGAUGUCCAGAGUGAACUGAUUCGAAGCCACUGAUCCAGUGAUUUAGUGAGGUAUUUGUUGCAUUUGGAAUGUAUAGUACCCAUAUUGAUAGUAUUAUUGCUGCUAAAUAUGUCCAAAUCAGAUCAAUGUGCCAUUGUCCCCACAGGGUCAGUCUGUAUAAUUAGUGGGGAUGGGCUGUUGUAAAAACACAAUGAGUAAGAAAAAUUUCUUUGUCGUGUUUUGAGUGGAUAUACAAAAUAAGGUGUAUUUGUUAUGUGCAAUACCCAUUUCUAACUUCUACUUUUUAUUUUAUACCAUACUAAAAAAUCAAAAUAUGUUGAGAGGGGACCAAUUUGCUGAUACAAAAAUAUUCAGGGGAUAUGUUUCCUCUGUGCCAUUUUUCACUGCAAAAGGACAAAACGAUGGAGAUGCAUCCUAGAGUGAUGAUGUGUGGGGAUGCAUGCCUGUCCAAAACCACCAUUAUGGAAUGAUGUGCAAAGUUCUAACAUCAAACAAAAGUUAGACACUCUUAAAUGGAAGACUCUUGGACCAUUGUAAAGUCCAGAUAUCUCUCCAUGUCUUUGAUUCUUUGAAAAAGUCUGAAAGGAUGAUGAACGACAGAAGGCAAUAUUGGACUUUUUUAUUUAGCAGCCUGACUUCUGCUGGAUGAUCAAUGAGACAAUUUCCUUACCACCAGUGGCAAUUUCUUCUAAAUCUAAUGAACCUACUGGGUCUUAUAGCUCUUGAACAGAGACUUUUUGAUCAUCCUUUAUAAACAAAACAUAUUUCAUGAAGAAUAUGAAAAAUUGUUAUUCUUCCUUAGUGUAAAGAUAAAUUGGAAAGAAAGUAAUUUCAUUCAAAAAAUUCUAGUAGUACAACUAAAUGCAUUUCCAGACAAUUUUUCUUCUCAAAUUUUCAAUGAAUGUCCUGUUAAUUGCAUAACAGUUUAACUAAUAAAGCAAUGAUGUAAUGUGUAAUUGCAAAACUCUUAAAUAUUGGGUAUGUAGUCAUUAAUUUCAUUGAAAAACAACAUAUUUCAAUAUCAUUUCUAUUAUAAAAUGUGGAUUUUGUAAGACAACCAAAGGAUGGUUGAAAAUGUUUUUUGGGUGCUUUGACUUUAAAAAUAAAUAAAUACACUGCUAGUUUUGGGUUUGGAUUAUCUAUGUAAUUCUUAAUUGUUCUUUCAAAUUUGAGCAUAUAUUUUAACACAGAUGUUCAACAGAUAUAAACAAGUUGUAAAGUAGUGACCUUUUAGCGGAGUGGGGACAAAAGAGGCGCGACCUUGUCAAUUGGACCCACGUGCGGUCGGGUAAUACCACUUGUAAAGUAUUGACUUGUAAACAAGGGUAAGCAAAGGAAGCGCCGGCUUUGUUAAUUGGACCCACCUGCAGUCAGACGGUAAUGGUAA
Long non-coding RNA from Centruroides sculpturatus (bark scorpion), 2025 nucleotides. RefSeq lists it as uncharacterized. The transcript has 3 exons. Lineage: Eukaryota; Metazoa; Arthropoda; Arachnida; Scorpiones; Buthidae. The record is from RefSeq and is a predicted model, not a curated record.